Molecule: ribosomal RNA, 348 nt
Filed under: uncultured fungus
Lineage: Eukaryota; Fungi
Description: bacterial SSU rRNA
Rfam family: Eukaryotic small subunit ribosomal RNA
Source: RNAcentral
UAGUCGCAUACGUUAACGAACGAGACCUCGACCUGCUAAAUAGUUCGACAAAGGAUUCUUCUUUGGACGUGACUUCUUAGAGGGACUAUCGGUGUGUAGCCGACGGAAGUUUGAGGCAAUAACAGGUCUGUGAUGCCCUUAGAUGUUCUGGGCCUGCACGCGCGCUACACUGAUGAAGUCAUCGAGUUCAAUUUCCUUUAUCGGAAGAUAUGGGUAAUCUUUUGAAACUUCAUCGUGCUGGGGAUAGAGCAUUGCAAUUAUUGCUCUUCAACGAGGAAUACCUAGUAAGCGUGAGUCACCAGCUCGCGUUGAUUACGUCCCUGCCCUUUGUACACACCGCCCGUCGCU